CUUAUUCAACCAUAUAUUUUUAUCUUAGAAAAUACAACAAAUACAACAAUUUCCUGUAAAUUAGUCGACCUUUGUUGACAUUCUUCAAUCUCUCCUCUUUCUCUUUGAACACUCAGGUUCUCACUCUCUUUCUCUCUUCACUCUUUUCUUUUGUUUCUCUUUUCUCUCUCACACUCUCAUUCUCUCUAGUUCUCUGUUUCAGUCUUGUUUGGUGUUUGGUUUUUCUUAAGUGAUAACAAGAUGAACUUUAGAGAGAAAAACAUUAAAAGGCUACAUCUUUGAUAUUGAUCAAUCGAUACUUUUUCUUACAAAGCACAACACACACUUAUACUACAUUACUACUUGAUACAGCUUCUAG
This 358-nucleotide long non-coding RNA is filed under the name Eutrema salsugineum. RNAcentral's name for it is "long non-coding RNA (ESAL_LNC001781)". Lineage: Eukaryota; Viridiplantae; Streptophyta; Magnoliopsida; Brassicales; Brassicaceae. The record is from RNAcentral.